CCGUGCAAGAUAUUAAACAUAGACGGUCUGAGGUUAUUAAUUCAAUAACCAGUACUUGCUAGGGCAAUGCAGCUUGCUAGGGCAACACAUGCAAAUACUAGGGCAUUGAGCUUUGUUUCCAGCAAAUGUGAGGUGCUCAUCAAUUGCAUACCCUGCAGUAUGCUUCCAAACAUGGCUCCACAUCUAGAAUAUGUUGAAACCAAAAAGGUCAUUUUCUCAUAUCAAUUCUAUACCAUCAGAUGGGAGGGCACAUAAAAUUGUGAUCUCGGAAUACAUAUCAAAGUUUGUGCAGUAUUUUGCACCAAUAGUUGCCUUCCUCAAUUUGAAUUGAAGUUUAAGCAGUCAUUUCUAAGGAUAUAAAAGACAAUAUUUGCUAGUUGUCAGUUCAUAGACUUCCUUCCAGUGGAGUGUGAUUGCAGAAACUUAGAGUAACAGCUUCCCAUUGAUUUUUGUAGGAGAAUAAUAGAAGCGAAAGCUCAACAACUACAUAAUCCAGAAGCACCAGACUGAGUUUGUCAAUGGUCUCAUCCAUUAAAUGGACUUGAAAAAUCAUCCACAAAACCGUAAACUAACUCAGCGGAGGGAAAGGGAAAGAGCAAUCCCUAUAGGCAAUAACUUCAGAUCAACUGCUAAUAUGAAAUUUAUCAAUGCAUGUUUCAUUUUUCCUACUGGCUUGAAACAAUUUAGAUACAGAAAUUGAGGGAAGGGGAGGAGAGCUCUCUUUCCCAAGGAGAAGUCAUUGCACAUAUUUAAUCCUCCCAUUUGAUUCAGAGUGGUUCUCUAAUUUUACCUAGUAUGCCUCCAAAGGCAUUGCAGGAUACUGGCCAGAAUGGCCAGAAAUAGCAAAGUUGUCCACUGGCUUUUUUUUUUUUCUGGCUGAAACAAAUAGAAACAGAUGAAAUGGCUGUAGCAGACCAGAAUACCAGAACAAAGAGUUGUCCAUUUCAAAUCCUGUAACUUUACUGGUGCAAAAUGGUGGCGCCAGAAUGAAACUACGUCGAUGAACACACUCAUCUUUCUUACCUAGCUGCGAUUUCUGGAGAGUAAGAAACGAA
Molecule: long non-coding RNA, 1055 nt
Organism: Magnolia sinica
Lineage: Eukaryota; Viridiplantae; Streptophyta; Magnoliopsida; Magnoliales; Magnoliaceae
Exons: 3
Source: RefSeq, a predicted model, not a curated record